This 61-nucleotide transfer RNA is filed under the name Heterocephalus glaber (naked mole-rat). It matches the Rfam family "tRNA", at positions 6 to 65 of the family's 71-position model. Rfam says of the family: Transfer RNA (tRNA) molecules are approximately 80 nucleotides in length. Their secondary structure includes four short double-helical elements and three loops (D, anti-codon, and T loops). Lineage: Eukaryota; Metazoa; Chordata; Mammalia; Rodentia; Bathyergidae. The record is from Rfam by way of RNAcentral.
UGUAGUUCAGUGGUAGAAUGUGUGCUUAACAUGUACAAGGUCCUGGGCUCAAUUCCCAGCA